AUUUUUUCCUCAAUUUUAGCUUUUUUGAUUAAAAAUUAAGCGUUCGUAAAUUAUUUAUAAGUUUUUGUAAAUUCUUGCGAACUUUUUCCGUUAUACUAUUGUCAUAAAUUACGAGCAACUUGCAGUUGUUUUAAUAAAAUUGGUUCCUUAGGUUAUUUGCCUCUCUUCGUGAGAGGCAUUUUUUUUAUGUAUUUUACAGGAAAAUCGCAGGCUUUA
This 216-nucleotide small RNA is filed under the name Aggregatibacter actinomycetemcomitans. Its description in RNAcentral is "small regulatory RNA JA04". The stretch from base 115 to 195 matches the Rfam family "Aggregatibacter sRNA JA04". Lineage: Bacteria; Pseudomonadati; Pseudomonadota; Gammaproteobacteria; Pasteurellales; Pasteurellaceae. The record is from RNAcentral.